AUCUUGUCCUGAAGCUCAGAUUCUGAGUUCACUUUUAAACCUGUGCAGAAACCGUCCCGGACCCGCUGGAGCUGAGGAGCUCAGACGUCUCCACCGACGGCUUCAGGGUGAACUGGAGACACGGGGCGCCCGACGUGGUUCUGUACAGACUGACCUGGACCUCCACCGACGGGGGAGAGGGCGACGAGGUCCUGGUGAAGGGGAACAUCAACACGUACCUCCUCAAAGGUCUGGCUCCAGGCAGCGAGUACGAGGUUCUACUCGCCGCCAUCUACGCCAACGAAGUGGAGAGCGACGAGGUCAUCCUGCUGGAGACCACGGCCAAAAGGACGACGACCAUCGCCACCACCUCCACCUCCA
Molecule: long non-coding RNA, 360 nt
Filed under: Neogobius melanostomus (round goby)
Lineage: Eukaryota; Metazoa; Chordata; Actinopteri; Gobiiformes; Gobiidae
Description: lncRNA (ENSNMLG00000018196.1)
Source: RNAcentral